AUACAGAGGGUGCAAACGUUGCUCGGAUUUACUGGGCGUAAAGCGCGUGUAGGCGGACUCGCAAGUCGGUUGUGAAAUCCCUGGGCUCAACCUAGGAACUGCAUCCGAAACUGCUUGUCUUGAGUAAUGGAGAGGGUGGCGGAAUUCCCGGUGUAGAGGUGAAAUUCGUAGAUAUCGGGAGGAACAUCAGUGGCGAAGGCGGCCACCUGGACAUUUACUGACGCUGAGACGCGAAAGCGUGGGGAGCAAACAGGAUUAGAUACCCUGGUAGUCCACGCCGUAAACGAUGAGAACUAGGUGCAGCGGAUAUUGACCUCUGCUGUGCCGUAGCUAACGCGUUAAGUUCUCCGCCUGGGGAGUACGGCCGCAAGGCUAAAACUCAAAGGAAUUGACGGGGCCCGCACAAGCAGUGGAGCAUGUGGUUUAAUUCGAAGCAACGCGCAGAACCUUACCAGGGCUAGAAAACUAAGAAUCCUGACGAAACUCGGGAGUGCUCGCAAGAGAACUUAGG
Molecule: ribosomal RNA, 511 nt
Filed under: uncultured Myxococcales bacterium
Lineage: Bacteria; Pseudomonadati; Myxococcota; Myxococcia; Myxococcales
Description: bacterial SSU rRNA
Rfam family: Bacterial small subunit ribosomal RNA
Source: RNAcentral